Molecule: ribosomal RNA, 433 nt
Filed under: uncultured bacterium
Lineage: Bacteria
Description: partial 16S ribosomal RNA
Rfam family: Bacterial small subunit ribosomal RNA
Source: RNAcentral
AACGAACGCUGGCGGCAUGCCUAACACAUGCAAGUCGAACGAGACCUUCGGGUCUAGUGGCGCACGGGUGCGUAACGCGUGGGAACCUGCCUUUAGGUUCGGAAUAACUCAGAGAAAUUUGAGCUAAUACCGGAUGAUGUCUUCGGACCAAAGAUUUAUCGCCUUUAGAUGGGCCCGCGUUGGAUUAGCUAGUUGGUGGGGUAAAGGCCUACCAAGGCGACGAUCCAUAGCUGGUCUGAGAGGAUGAUCAGCCACACUGGGACUGAGACACGGCCCAGACUCCUACGGGAGGCAGCAGUGGGGAAUAUUGGACAAUGGGCGAAAGCCUGAUCCAGCAAUGCCGCGUGAGUGAUGAAGGCCUUGGGGUUGUAAAGCUCUUUUACCCGAGAUGAUAAUGACAGUAUCGGGAGAAUAAGCUCCGGCUAACUCCGUG